ACAGCAGCCGCCGCGGUAACACCGAGGGUGCGAGCGUUAAUCGGAUUUACUGGGCGUAAAGCGUGCGUAGGCGGCUAAUUGAGUCGGAUGUGAAAUCCCCGAGCUUAACUUGGGAAUUGCAUUCGAUACUGGUUAGCUAGAGUGUGGGAGAGGAUGGUAGAAUUCCAGGUGUAGCGGUGAAAUGCGUAGAGAUCUGGAGGAAUACCGAUGGCGAAGGCAGCCAUCUGGCCUAACACUGACGCUGAGGUACGAAAGCAUGGGGAGCAAACAGGAUUAGAUACCCCCGUAGUCCCUGUCUCUUAUAC
Molecule: ribosomal RNA, 305 nt
Filed under: uncultured bacterium
Lineage: Bacteria
Description: partial 16S ribosomal RNA
Rfam family: Bacterial small subunit ribosomal RNA
Source: RNAcentral